Molecule: non-coding RNA, 87 nt
Filed under: unclassified sequences
Source: RNAcentral
AUAAAACUGCCACCGGGUAGUAAAUGCGAAAGCAUUCGUAACACAUCGUUAGGUCUUAGAAGAUGUGUCGCGGAUGCUUGUUUUUUU